ACCACGCGGAGAAAACAGAGGAGAAAGAGAAGAGAAGAGAAAAUAUCCCUCCCACCUCGUCACCCCAGCUUCCUCCGCUGCCUCACCACAGCACGCCGACGAGCUCUCUCCAGUCACCACGCACGACGCCUCCUCUCCCCUUCCCCCAGAUCCGAAGCGACUGCCGCCGGCUCGCGAUCUUCCCGAACCGUACAAGAACCCGGCCGUGGCGGCGGCCGCGGCAGCGACGUACGGUGGCGGCGAGGGGUGUAUGAGGAGCAGGAACGACUGCGGGACCGCGAUUCGGAGCAGGAGCCGGUGGGGCAAGUGCGGCUGACCCGCGCCUGAGCGAGAGGCCGGUCUGUGUGUCUGGUGGGAUCGUGGGAGGAGGGAGAAGAAAGAAAGAAAGGUCGAUCUUGGGAAGCUUCCACUACGGGCUCCGAGAUGCAGAACGGCGAUUUGCGCAAGAAGAGUGCAGCGGAAAUUGAUUUCUUUACUGAAUAUGGCGAUACUAAUCGAUACAAAGUUCUGGAGGUCAUAGGCAAAGGUAGUUAUGGACUUGUAUGUUCUGCAAAUGAUACACAAACAGGAGAGAAGGUUGCAAUAAAGAAGAUACACAACAUUUUUGAGCAUAUAUCGGAUGCUGCACGCAUACUCCGUGAAAUCAAGCUUCUCAGGCUUCUUAGGCAUCCUGAUGUAGUGGAAAUAAAGCAUAUCUUGCUCCCCCCAUCCAAAAAGGAUUUCAAAGAUAUAUAUGUUGUCUUUGAACUUAUGGAGUCAGAUCUUCAUCAAGUAAUAAAGGCUAAUGAUGAUUUGACGAGGGAGCAUUAUCAGUUUUUCUUGUAUCAGAUGCUUCGAGCUUUGAAAUAUAUGCACACAGCAAAUGUCUAUCACCGAGAUUUGAAGCCCAAGAAUGUGCUUGCCAACGCAAAUUGCAAACUCAAAAUUUGUGACUUUGGCUUGGCGAGAGUUGCAUUCAAUGAUGCACCUACGACAGUCUUCUGGACAUAUACACCAGCUAUUGAUAUAUGGAGUAUAGGGUGCAUUUUUGCCGAGGUGUUGAUUGGAAAGCCUCUAUUUCCUGGUAAAAAUGUUGUUCACCAGCUGGAUUUGAUAACUGAUGUUCUGGGGACACCUUCAUUAGAUGCUAUUUCUCAGGUGCGGAAUGACAAGGCAAGAAAAUAUCUGACAUGCAUGCGGAAGAAACAGCCUGCUUCGUUUUCGCAGAAAUUUCCAAAGGCUGACCCAUUAGCAUUACGAUUGCUUAGGAGGCUUCUAGCUUUUGAUCCAAAGGAUCGUCCCUCUGCUGAAGAGGCAUUGGCAGAUCCAUACUUUAAUGGACUAGCAAAGGUAGAGCGAGAACCAUCUUGUCAACCGAUACCAAAAAUUGAAUUUGAAUUUGAGGGUCGUAGAGUAACAAAGGAGGACAUCAAGGAACUGAUCUUUGAAGAAAUUUUGGAGUAUCAUCCUCAAUUACUGAAGGAGCAUAUCAGUGGAACAGACAGACGAAACUUUGUUCAUUUAAGUGCUGUCGACCAAUUUAAGAAACGCUUCGCUGAACUCGAGGAAAAUGGUGGCGAAAAUGGAUCAGCUGUUUCAUCACAGAGGAAACAUUCUUCUUUGCCAAGGCAAUCCUUCAACCCCCAUUAGACGUGUAAUGACCUGUGACAGUGAAAACUCACAGGAUAUGAAGAUCCAAGAAGCUUACCAUCUGUACUCCCUCGGCAACCAAAAUAUGAAGCACCGCACUCUCAGAACCAAGUAUCUAGUGGGUCAGUGCUUGAUGCGACAGGUCCAACUCCCAACACAAUAUGUACAUGGAGGAGUAUAUGUAGACUCCAGAACAGGGAACUUACUUCUAUCUGCAUCAUGGUAUAAGGGUUGAUAUACCAGGUGAGGAGUAUAUGUAGACUCCAGAUCAGGGAACUUACUUCUAUCUGCAUCAUGGUAUAAGGGUUGAUAUACCAGGUGACAGUAUCGCACAGGCAGUCUCUGUUCCUCAUGGCUCAGUUCUGGCUGUAUGUUGCAGCAUGGCGUUUCCAGGGAUGUUUCGAGCCUAGGGUUAUUUGGCAUUGAAUCAUGGAGGUCUGGCUUUUUUAUUUGUUAGUCCCCCAAAUCAUGGAGGUCGAACCUAGGAUUCCAGCUUCAUCUUGUACAUGGGAUGUUUCACAGCUUCUUUGCAACCAAGCCCCCCAAAUGUACCACACAGUUGGAUCAUAAUGUGCCUCCUAGGGAUUGAGUUGCAAAGCUCGUUUGUUCUGAAUGCUUAAACUUUUUCCAUGGGAAGCUGUGAGGUGGCUAGGUCAAAGAAUAGGAUUGUCGUGAUUUACUUCAACCGCUAAUAUCAGUUGUUUAGGAAAUACUCCUGCAUUUUAACGCGAGGGACCUUGCUGUGUUUAGCAGCGUGUUAACCAAAGGAACUUGAGCAUAUAAUCUGAAUCAUUUCCAAUAGUUACUGUAAAGGAAUGUGCGAAGGUCGGAUGCCAUAGACCAAAUUAACUGUUCCGGUGAGCUGGGUAAAUAAACUGUUCUUUUCCAUCGAUAUUGAUGUUGUUCC
RNAcentral lists this ribosomal RNA (2536 nucleotides) under Triticum aestivum (bread wheat). RNAcentral describes it as "partial small subunit ribosomal RNA". The record is from RNAcentral. Lineage: Eukaryota; Viridiplantae; Streptophyta; Magnoliopsida; Poales; Poaceae.